AUUGAAUAAUCAAAUGUCAAUUUUGACAAGGAAGGAAACUAUAAAAAAAAAGGAAAAAUCUCGGAAAAAUCAUGCUUUAGUUGACUGGUAAAUAGAUUUGACCGGGUUCUAACCGGAAAUCACGAACCGGGUUCACCUACUAUAUAAACACACACCUACACAAGUUGUCUCCAUACAUCAUCAUCAUCUUCUUCACAGGCCUUCUCAUUUCAUCUCCGUCUCUGCAGAUAACUCUCUCUCUCUCGCCGGAUUUUUCAUUUCACCUGCAGAGCUCACGAUCUUAUUCAAUGGCGUCGAGAAACUCCGUAGCCGGAUUCGCGUUAUUCACAUUCGUAUUCGCCGUCUUCUCGUCUCUCGCCGGCGCUCAAACCCUAGCUCCCGCUCCUGCUCCCACGAGUGACGGUAACUCUCAUCGCAUUUCCCCGUCCAGAUCUGAAUCCCCGUGGAAUCUGGAAUAACCGAUCUCGAUCUCUAAUUUGAAUUUGGUUUAAUUGACAUUUGAAUUUGGUUUUUGAUUGGUUUGAUAAACAGGGACAUCGAUAGAUCAAGGGAUAGCGUAUUUGCUAAUGAAACAUGUAAAAUGAUUGAUGUUAAUGAUCCAACGGCUAAUACCUCUAACGAGUUUGUCAAAUAGUCACCUAAUAAAGAUUACACCAAUCAUUAAACAAUAAUUAUAAUUGUACAGCAGAUUAUUCAUGUCUUACAUUCAACAGCCGACGUAUUCCAAAUUAAAAUAAGCCAAGUAUAAUCAUAUACUCGUCAAAAUAAUUAUAAAUUAUGUGGCAUAGAGUGACAUUGUAAGUUGAUAAAAGAAGCUCACUAAAAUGAUUCAAACAAUUAUAUCAAUGCCAAGUAAACCGAGCUUAACUAAUUUUUAUGUUUAUGUAAACUGAAACUACCUUAUGAGCAAUCUACCUAAACAAUUAAACAUUGAUGAAUGAAGCGUUAAUCAAAGCUGAUCACCACCUACUAGCCGUUAAAUUAAUCAAGAAAAAGGAAAAACAACAUUGCAUAGAAAGAGAAUCGAAUCAUCAUCGGUUAAAAAGCAAAGAAACAAAGAAAUUGGAGACACUGGUGGAGUCAUGACGUAUAAUAGGUCCAGUUUGGCUGCCAAUCUGUCAUUCAGCCCCACCACUACACUAACAAAAAGAGAUACUUUUAUUAUUAUUUAAACAAAAUAACUAACAAACAAAAAAUUACAGAAAAAAAGAUAUAAUCACAUCACAUGCCCCCUUCGUCGCUGUAACGUUACUAAACUAGCCGCCAAAUUCAAUUAAAUAAUUUUUGCUUUUGUCUACUUUCGUUACAAUUUUUUUUUAAAAAAAUAUUAAGCUUUAUUUAUUUUUAAUUUCUGUUAAAAAAAAACCAUUUUGCUCUCACGAAAUUUUCACCAGUGACAAAUAAAUAAUUCUAGAAACAUAUCAAAUGUCAUUGAUUGAAUAAUCAAAUGUCAAUUUUGACAAGGAAGGAAACUAUAAAAAAAAAGGAAAAAUCUCGGAAAAAUCAUGCUUUAGUUGACUGGUAAAUAGAUUUGACCGGGUUCUAACCGGAAAUCACGAACCGGGUUCACCUACUAUAUAAACACACACCUACACAAGUUGUCUCCAUACAUCAUCAUCAUCUUCUUCACAGGCCUUCUCAUUUCAUCUCCGUCUCUGCAGAUAACUCUCUCUCUCUCGCCGGAUUUUUCAUUUCACCUGCAGAGCUCACGAUCUUAUUCAAUGGCGUCGAGAAACUCCGUAGCCGGAUUCGCGUUAUUCACAUUCGUAUUCGCCGUCUUCUCGUCUCUCGCCGGCGCUCAAACCCUAGCUCCCGCUCCUGCUCCCACGAGUGACGGUAACUCUCAUCGCAUUUCCCCGUCCAGAUCUGAAUCCCCGUGGAAUCUGGAAUAACCGAUCUCGAUCUCUAAUUUGAAUUUGGUUUAAUUGACAUUUGAAUUUGGUUUUUGAUUGGUUUGAUAAACAGGGAC
RNAcentral lists this long non-coding RNA (1969 nucleotides) under Brassica napus (rape). RNAcentral describes it as "long non-coding RNA (BNAP_LNC025983)". The record is from RNAcentral. Lineage: Eukaryota; Viridiplantae; Streptophyta; Magnoliopsida; Brassicales; Brassicaceae.